GCCCUCCCCUUAAAACCCCAGGCCAUGAACAGCCAGGCGUGACUUCUCUGGCCCCCCUUGGACCACUGAAGCUUGCCUGGGAGCUGAAUAAAUUAGCUUCUCACUUUCUUAUAGUUGCCUCAGUUUCCUCAUUUUACUUCAGCAAUAAAUUUUACAUUUGGUGCCAAAACCUGGGAGGAGUUGUGAGACCCCCUCUGGAGGGGGAAACUGACUCCUCCACACAAGGCCGGACCAGGAGCUGCUCCGCCAUGAGGAUGAUUCCUGACCUUGAACAUCAAACUCUAAGUUCUUCAACUUUUAGACUCUUGGACCUUCAACCACAGACAGAAGGCUGAGCUACUGGCUUUCCUACUUUUGAAGUUUUGGGACUCAGACUGGCUUCUUUGCUCCUCAGCUUGCAGAAAGCCUACUGUGGGACUUUAUCAUGUGAUCAUGUGUAACAUGUACUUGAGACUACUGGAAAAGCAGUUUUACAUGCGAAGCAUUCAAGGAAAGUAAAAUGUGCUUUUUGGUAAAAAAGAUUAUAAUCUGCAUGGAAAUGCAGAUUUUUUUGGCAAAAAUGUUUAGAGGGUUAAAGGAUUGUUUUAAGUUAGAUAGGAUAAAGCUAAAGGUUUGAGCAAGUUGUGGAAGAUUUGUGAAAAAUUAAUCCCAUAAAGGAAAUUCUUUAUGAAAACACACUGGCUAAAAUUAAAGGAGUACUACUCAGUUUAUUCAUAAAUUGAACAUUAGAAUAAAAGCACAACAUUGUUUUCUUAGAGUAUUGUUCUGCUCUUUAACAAAAAAAAACUGUAAAGGUUUUAAAAAGGUUUAUGAAAAUCUUACUUUAUGGUCAAACAAACUAAGAUUUAAUAGAAAUGUGUAUAAAGUUUUAUUAAGAAUUGGAUUUGCCAUCAACAAUACACUAAAGCAAAGGUAAAAUCUGGCUUUCUGGGGGCUGUAUUUGUAUAAAUUUAUUAUUGGCAUGUGUUCCAAACUUGUGCCAAACUCCUGAAUUCUAAUGUGACUUAGUAUACAUUAUCAGUCAUCACUAUAAUUGUUAUGUUAAAUUAUUGUGUUCCACAGAGGUGACAAAUUUCUUUUUCAAUUGUGUCUUUGAUUAUGGCUGCCCUAAGACUUUUUGUCAUUGACAGAUAACUGUUGUUUUGUUUUCAUCAUCUUUAAAAGGUGUUUUUAUAAUCAACUGUAAGACUUUAACAAGUGCUCUUACAUGCAGGUUUCUGAAAACGUUGGAGACUGUGACAUUAGAAUAAAGGAAAUAUGUUUAGGAUUAUUAUGGAGAGCUAAAAUGUUCAUGAAUAUUAAGUAAACAGGAGCUAACUGCAUGGACUGAACUAAUGGAAAACAGAAAUAAUCCUUCUAUUUACAGCUUUAAAAAUUGCAAAAAAGUAUAUUCCAUUUAACAAAAUUUGGAGCAUAUUGCUUUCUCUCUACCUGAUUUCUCCAGUAUUUGGAAGCUGAAUAUUCUUAACUUAUAGCAAUGUACUUAUUUGCAUAAGUGCAAAUAAGAAUUUGUUUUUAUUUACAACAGGACACCUUGGAGAAACUGGUUAUUUUACCAGUAGUUUGAAUUACAUGGUGGCCUUUCCUUUAAAAAAUCAAAUUUGACUUAUAGCGCCAAAAAAAGCACCUUGGAAAAACUGGCCUUAUGCUUUGUCUACACAGUCCCUGUACAGGGUUUCUGGCCUAUGGUAAGUAAAGAAUGUCACUUUCUGACAGGGCUGGGAGCCCCAAGUUGUCUUGGGACCUCAAAAGGAGAGGAAUUUACUCAACUCAUACAGGUAUUCGAUGGCACAAACCCAUGGCUGGGCUAAAGGCUUUAAGUAUUAUUCUGAAAUUCCUUACAGAAUGAAAUUACAUCAAAGCCAAUUUAAAAGGGGGCCUAUAUGACAAAUAAUUAUUCUUGCUGUGCUGUAUACAAACAAUCAGGACAAAUUUAAUAAGACUAAAGCUUAUUUUGCAAACAAAUCAGUCCUAUUAUAAUUGUUUUCAUAAAAAUGAGGACUGGAGAGAGAAAAAUUGUGCUUGAAUAAUAGAAGGAAGGAAAGGAGGGUGGGGAGAGGAAAAGGGAGAGGGAAUGGGAGAGGGUACAUGUAUGGCACACUUGUUAUUAGAUUCUAGAUUUAACAGUUGUUUUAGAGUUUUUGUCUGCAGUUUAGACUAGCUCUACUUAUUCCUGUGAACCAACCAGUAGUCUCUGGCUGCAGCUCAGAAGAAACAGUAGGGAUGAGUUAUGUAAAAAAUUUUUAAAAAUAUAUAUACAUAUACAACUCCUCGUUUCAAAUUCUUCUGUUUCAGUUUCCUGAGUAGCUGGGAUUACAGGCAUGUGCCACCACACCCAGCUAAUUAUUGUAUUUUUUAAGUAGAAACAGAGUUUCACAUGUUGGCCAGGAAUGGUCUUGAUCUCUUGACCUCAUGAUCCACCCACCUCAGCCUCCCACAGUGCUGGAUCAAUAUUUUAAUUCUGGGCACAUACUGGAAUUGGUAGCAAUCCCAUGCAGCCAAGACUUAGCAGGUAUGACUAUAGUUAUUAAUACCAGCUACCUGGAUGUGUCGGCAGUCUCAGAACUUUUUGGAGCUGUGAUCACUCCCUUAUUUUGUUCUGACAUUCUAAAUUUAAUAACCCGAUAUGCUUCCUCUAGCCUUCAGGCCAUCAAGCUCCAGAUGAUCCUCAGUGAGGGAUAAUGUCCUCUCAAUAUUCAAGACUAACCCUUCUACAGAUCCCUAGACUGCCCAUCAGGGAGACAUGAUAGAGGCAAAAUCCUGCCCCAUCCACCUUGGAACUGGCUGGAUACUGCUUUCACCAAUCCACGGAGCCACUGUCCUACCCUGACAGCUAGCAAAGAGGCCAAGAACCACACAACAACCACCGCUACCCCUCUGGCAGGAGCAAGCAGUUACAGAAGACUGAGCUUCAUCCAUUUUCCUCAAUUAAUUGUAAUCUUGGACUCUUAGGUGGGGGAAUGUUACAGUGGGUAGCUAGUCAGGCAUGAGCAGGGCAGGAGAGGGUUUCCCUCCCAUACAUCAAGAAUGUCAGGCAGCCAUCAGGUGAUGGUUGGGCAGUUGUUAAUUGUCUCUCUGAAAUAAUAUUUGGUCGCUGCUGGUGCCAGGGAGAGGCAGUCUUCGAGUAGAUAGAAAUAACGUGACACUGGUAAUCAGCACCUUCCCAGUAAGAUUUCAGGUAUUAGGCAAGUGGGCUCAAGCAUGUGCAGUAGAGGCAAAAUGGCAGGGUUUAACUGCUAUAUGACCAUCCAGUGACAUUCAACUGCUAAGGAAAGAAUGCCUCAAAUGAGCAUGCAUACAACUCCUGUAAAUACACAGUCCAUGCUCACCUCCCAUGUGCUAGCAAGCCAAUGUGCAUGCAGACAGCGCAUCCAAUGGGAAAAAUCAGGAGAGAAGGGAUGCAAGACUCUGGAAGUAUGCCAACAUAUAAAAUCCCAAGUCAAAGGUCAAACAGGACACUUUAUCUCUUAAGUCACCCACUUGGCCCUCUUUCAAGUAGAUUUUAUACUUUCAUUCCUGCUCUAGAGCUUCUUAAUAAAUUUUCACUCCUACUCUAAAUCUUGCCUGGGUCUUUCCUUCUGCCUUAUGCCCCCCAGUCAAAUUCUUUCUUCUGAGGAGGCAAGAAUCAAGGUUGCUGAAGAUCCAUACAGACUUGUCAACAAUAAUAGAAGCAUAGGUGAAACCCCUGCUUGUAUCACUUUCACUAAUGUCUCAUUGACCAAAGCUGUGGUAUGAUUAAGCCUACCAUUAUUGUGAGGGCACUACAAAUGACAUAAGUAUUGGCAGCCAAACUCUUUGCUUCUCCCCUAUAUAACAAUCUACUACACAUGAGAAAUCUUUUUAUAUUCACAUGGGAGUCUAUGAGAUUGAAUCUCUAUUUUUCUACAUUACUCUGUGAUAAAGAGAAAAAAUUAUAUCCUCCUCCCAUUUUUAACAUCUCAAACAAAAGCAAUUUGAUAAAUAAGAAAUAUUUCAGGUGAUGAGUAUUUAAUUUUUAAAGGAACAAUUGUCUGUCACUUUCUAAUAAAGCCAGGGGAGUAUGUCUAAAAUCAAAUGUUAAAUUGGAUUUUAAAAAUAACAAAACCAAUUACCAUAUGUGCAUUAUGAAUCCUUUUUUCAGACACAUAACAUUAUAUGGUAUCUUUCUUUCUGAGGAAUAGUUUCUACCCAAAAAGAAGGCCCAAAUUUAAAUAGUCAGGUUGUUCAUCAGAACUUCAAAUAAUAAUAAAAAUACACAUAAAAAUAAAAAGGGAACUAAGUUUAGUGAUUGGUUACUUCACUGAAGAAAUAAACCUCUGCAUAAAUUAUAAAUGAGCUUAAAUACAUUGGUAAACUUAUAAAAACAUUAACUAUAAUUCAACAAAAAGUUUAUAUGAAGAAACAAACCAAGACAAGUUGCUGAGUACUUUAUUUGACUUUUGUCUGAGGUCAUUUGAUGAACCAGGUGGACUUGUUUUGAUUUUUAAGAGAUUGAGGACAAUAUCUAAAGUCUGUGGGUUUAACUAUGUUUAGGAGUCUGAUAGGAGACAUACCCUUAAAAGAGGCAACUAAGGAUUACAUUUUUACAAAGGUGAAUGUAAAACAAACUAACUCCACCUUAUGAAUACUACAAGGAAAGUUCUUGUCAUAAUUUUGAUAUUGAAAUUGAUUUGAUUUGAUAUUAAAGGGGAAAAUAUCUUUCUCAAGAAUUUUUGACACCAAGUUACUUUCUUAAAAUGGCUUUGCAAUGAGAAUGUAUACUGCAUGGGUGGUGCCAAGAAACAUUAAAUAAAUAAUUUAAUUUAGUAGCCUAAGCUACUGCCUCAGGUUCCUGGAAUAAGUAAAAUCUAAUAAUCUAAAAAAAUCCAUUUUCCUUCUAUAACUCAAAUAAUUUUCAGAUAAACUUCUAAAAAGUAAAAUGUAUCAGUCAACCAUGAAAGAAAAACAAGGUAUGAGUGAGAGGUUAACUGGCUCUGUGGCUUACUGACUAGCAUGCUUUCUGAAAUGUAUUGCUACCUGCUGGCAAGCUUGUGCUUUGAGUUGUGCUGAUUUUUCUGCAUUUACAAAUCUUACCAAGUCUCUCUUUAGACUUCAUCAACGUAAGCUGGAAGUUUUCAAUAAUUAGUGUGUAGAGACAGUGCUGUGGGAAUGGAGCUCUCCUUUUAUAAGUGGUGUUGGGAGUGUGUCCCAGAAUAGAUUUACUAUCUGUGUGUCUCAGAUUGUAGUAUGUGUCUUGAUUCCAGCACAAGCCACGAUUGACACUAGAGUCAGGAAAAUCUCUCAACUAUUGACAGGUGGGUGUGUGUCUUACCAUGCAUUGGCCCUACUCUAUAGAAUGUUCUGAGGAAAGACUGAUAGCUUGUGAAAUAUGUAGGCCCAUUGGAGAUAGCUCAUAUAGGGGAAGAGAAGUCACAAUGUGACAUGCUGAGGUCACAUUAAUGAAACAAAUGACUUAUUAAGAAUUUACAAAAUACCAACAGUGGCAGUGUCCAUUUUUCUAAAAUAUUUCAUACUGGUCAUAGCUGCUGUGACCCAACAAGCAAUAAAUUAUAAUUAAAUUAAGUCUUUGGCCUUUAACUAUUGGUUUGAUAUAAUGAAACCCUAUGGCUCUUACUCCAAUAUAACAAGUUAUCAAGCUCUAUAUAAAUUGAAACACGAUCUUCAAGGAUUAAAACCCAUUAUACAAGACAUUUAAAGAAGAGUUGGUUAUCCCUACUGCUUCUCAGUUAACAGCCCAAUUUGGCCUGCUUCUAAACCUGAAAAAAUAAAUGGCACCUUAUAGUGGAUUGUUAUAAUGCUAAUGCUCCAGUCAUACCAAUUAAGGCACACAUACCUACUAUUAUUAAAAUUACCAAAUUCAUCCAACCAGCAACUGAUGAAUAUUUUGAAUCUUUUGUAGUUGUAGAUUUGUCUAUUACAUUCUAUUUAGUGUUUAUUUCAAUAGGCUCUUGGAUGUGGUUUGCUUUUACUUUUGAAGUGACACAAAAGAAGGUGCUUACCUAGCUAUCUAUGGGCUACAUCAACAUUCUUGUGAUCAUACACAAUCUUUGUAGGUAAGAUCUUAACUGUAUCCAACUUUACUCAGGAGCACAGGUAUAACAUCACACUUAUGACAUCCUGCUCCAUGGAGAUGCAUUUGAUAUAUUUAUUCAGGACACACAAAUAUUGACAAAGGAGUUCAUAGAAAGAGGUUGAUCAUUGUUUCACUCAUAGUACAACGGCCCACCACUUCGUCACAUUUCUGAAAAAUUGUUAGAUAAGCUGAGGGCUGCUCUAUCCCUGAUACUGUCAAGAAACAGCUACUAGUCUUCUCAGCAACCAUGAUAUUAAAACAAGCAAAAGUUCUUUUAGCCUUUGGUUUUGGAGACAGUAUAUUCUUUAUUUAGAAAUUUUACUUAAGCUCAUAUAUGCUGUCACUCACAAAUCAGCAUACUUUGAAUGGAACCUCCAAUAACAAAAGUCCCCAGCAUCUGUCCAAAUUGCAAUAGAAGAUUAGUGCUCUCCAACCAGACUCCUUCACUCUAGCAGCUUUAGCAACCUCCUCUUAUUUUUCUUGGGGUCUUGUAUAUAUCAAUAAUGACUAUAUAAUGCCCAUAGGCUAUUAGUGCAAGCAAUUGCCUUCCUUGACUCAACAUUAUAGGCCAUUAGGGUAACACUGCUAGCUGGAAUUGUUAGCUCUCUUAGAUAAAGAGAUGUCACAGGACCCAAGCUUAUGGCCUUUCAUACCCAGCUGCUGCCCAUUACACCUUGGGUCAAGGUAGCAGCACUCCAUGAGCUCAGCAUGGCCACUGAAGUCCCCUUGCUGUCAAGUUAAACCUAGGUAUUUUGGAUUUUCCCAACUGUAGGAGUUGGAAGGGGCUGUCUUGCCCUCAUUUUCCUGCCAAAUGACACAGUUAUGGGGGAGGUUGCACUUUUCUAUAUCCCUUAGCUUCAUGGGGGAGCCCCUUGGUAUCAACUGUGUGAGCAGUAAAAGGAGUUCAUGUAAGAGGGAUGGAAACACCACUAUUAUGUGUGAUGCUGCUCACUGGAGGGCUGUUUAAAGUGCUUUGCAUCCUUCAACUGCAUGUUCCUGGUCAAGGAUCAAAACCAAGGGUCAGCAAAACUGACUAAACUUUACUCAGCCACUUAACACUAGAUAUCCUGGCUAACAAUCAGCCUCAUAUACACAUUUUUACAGCAAGAAUUUCUUAACCAAGAUUCCCCUGUAAGGUUAUAGUACAGUACAGUACAAGCCAUCACUAAGAUACUCCGUCUCCUAGGAAUUCUAGACAUUAUUAAUAGUGACCAAGACUUCUCAAAAUAUACAGUGUCAGACUCUUCAACAAGGUACUCAGUAUCAUUUUGGAUUCAUUGGGACUACCCACUUCAACAAAGGCCCAAAGUGCAAGAGUCUUGGUGACAGAAGUAUUUCAAAAAGAGGCUGAGAGCACCUUCACUACUUUAAUGCUUAUUGUCCAGCUUAAGGCUCUACUCUCUAAAUUCUGGUGCAGUACUCUUCAGUCACCCCAGGUGUGGCUUCAGCGGACCCCAAUACAGCAUGAGCAGCAGUGAUUUCCCCUCUGAAAGGCACAUGUGGUAAACCCUGGCAGCAUCCUUUGGUGUGCAAAAUGCACAAGGACAUGGCCACCUCCACCCCAGGUUUCAAAAGAUACAGCCAUGUGGAACUUUGAAAGUGUAAUCCAGGAAGAAGGAUUCCUUCAGGGCUAGAUCACUGCAGAGAACCUCCACUAGGGCAAUGCCUAGUGGAACAAAGCAGGCAGGGCAUCCCGGCAACCUCAGACUAGUAGAACCACUGGCUUGCAAUUCCAACCUGGUAAAACCACUGGGACUGCCUACAACCUGUGAGAGCACUGGCACUUACUGGGCCCUGAAAAGCCAUAGUAAUGGGGCCAUCCAAAACAGUGGGAGCUUGGCUGCCCAGGGCCUUUGGUAAACAAACCCUGCUCAACAGAGCUGCAGAGGCAAGACCUCUGUGCUAGUGGGCCUGGAGGGAAGAUUCUCAAGUCUAUGAUUAUUCUCUUUUUUUAUUUUUUUAGAAAGAAAGAAAGAGAAAGAGAAAGGAGAGAGAGAACAGGAGUCUUGCUCUGUUGCCUAGGCUGGAAUGCAAUCUAAAAAUAGGUAUUAAAAACCUCUUUUAUGCCGAUAAUUGUGCUUAACAGUGGAGACAGGAAAAAAUAAGGGAAGAAAAUAACAAACAAACAGCCAACCAAUAUUUCAUUUAAGGCUGUGAAAUGCAGUGCAAAUGCUGAAGAAUGAUUUACUUCCAAUUAUGUGAUCACUUUCAAAAUAGGUGUAAUGUGAUACUGAGAAAAAUGUAUAUUUUGUGGACCUGGGGUGAAGAGUUCUAUAAAUAUUCACUGAGUUUACUUGUUCCAGGUCUGAGUUCAAGUCAUAGAUGUCCAUGUUAAUUUUCUAUCUCGUUGAUCCGUUGAAAAAUAUUAACAAUAUGGUGUCAAAGUCUCCCGCUAUCAUUGUGCGGGAGUCCAAGUCUCUGUAUAAGUCAUUAAGAACUUGUAUCUGGGUGCUCCUAUAUUGGGUGCACAUAUUUAUGAUCAUUGACUCCUGUUGUUGCAUUGAUCCUUUUACCAUUAUGUAAUGUCCUUCUUUGUUUCGUUUAGUCUUUGUUACUAUUAAAGUCUAUUUUGUCAGAGACAAAAGUUACAACUCCUGUUUUUUUUUUUUUCUCUCU
Molecule: long non-coding RNA, 8668 nt
Organism: Callithrix jacchus (white-tufted-ear marmoset)
Lineage: Eukaryota; Metazoa; Chordata; Mammalia; Primates; Cebidae
Source: RefSeq, a predicted model, not a curated record